GGUGAGCGACGGUGGGUUCCGGUGUCGAAUUGGACACUUCCGGGAACUCGAAUUGGAACGAUUAUCCGACGAUAAUCGUUUCAAUGUGAGUUAGUGUUGUUGCUGCCAAAUCCCAUGAAUAAUGGUGUUUAGUAGCAGCGGGUGACUCGUAGCACGAGUCGGUGCUUUUCGGGACAGUUCGUGGGUUUCGGCGGAGUCCCGGUGCGAUUUUCGGGACUUCCGGCGAGUUACGAUAAUUGGUUUCGGGAAACCGAUCCUGUGGGAUUGUUUUUUGGGGAUGUGGAUUCAGUGUUUAUUAUUUGUGGGUUAGACACGGUGGACCCUCCUUAGGUCUGGUUGACGUUCGUUCGCAGUAAGGAGACAAGCGUGACAUUCGUACAGGUGGGUACUUCGAUCCGAAGUCGGUACAGUGGUACACGCUCGGUGAUAGUUUCUUACCCUUGCUAUCUCAUUGUUAUCUGGCAUAUAUAUCUUUAUAUAUAGUGUUGAGCCUAGCGCCCGUGUUGUUUUGGUUAUACUCUACUCGGUUGUUUUUCAUAUCUAGUAGCAUGAGUAGGAGUAGAGUGGAUUUAUGAUUUCAGGUGAGAUCAGUGACCUAGUUGGUCGGUUUUAGUAUUUCGUGUCUGUGACCUAUUCGGUCGGUUUA
This 646-nucleotide long non-coding RNA is filed under the name Ananas comosus (pineapple). RNAcentral's name for it is "long non-coding RNA (ACOM_LNC016663)". Lineage: Eukaryota; Viridiplantae; Streptophyta; Magnoliopsida; Poales; Bromeliaceae. The record is from RNAcentral.